Pollicipes pollicipes is the source of this 261-nucleotide long non-coding RNA. RefSeq lists it as uncharacterized. The record is from RefSeq and is a predicted model, not a curated record. Lineage: Eukaryota; Metazoa; Arthropoda; Thecostraca; Pollicipedomorpha; Pollicipedidae. The transcript is spliced from 3 exons.
GACUGUCAGCUGGCACCAAGUCUCGGAGAGUCUGCUGGUGGAGGACGCCGUCAGCCAACUGAACCCGCGCGCGGCACCCCGCUGGGCAGUGCGUGUCCAGCCAGCAGCGCGCGCGGUCGGCCUGCUGGGCCUCUGCCUGCACGAUGUCUGGAAGUUUUGUCACCGGCGCGACUCGUUCGAGUCGCUGCUUGGCCGGCGGCUUACGGAUGCGCCUGUUGUUGGUCAGGCGCCGGACGUGAUGGCGGCGCUCUCCCGCCUGAC